Molecule: ribosomal RNA, 391 nt
Filed under: uncultured bacterium
Lineage: Bacteria
Description: bacterial SSU rRNA
Rfam family: Bacterial small subunit ribosomal RNA
Source: RNAcentral
AACGAACGCUGGCGGCGUGCUUAACACAUGCAAGUCGAGCGGUAAGGCCCUUUCGGGGGUACACGAGCGGCGAACGGGUGAGUAACACGUGGGUGACCUGCCCUCAGCUCUGGGAUAAGCCUGGGAAACCGGGUCUAAUACCGGAUAUGACUCCAUGACGCAUGUUGUGGGGUGGAAAGCCUUGUGCGGCUGAGGAUGGGCCCGCGGCCUAUCAGCUUGUUGGUGGGGUGAUGGCCUACCAAGGCGACGACGGGUAGCCGGCCUGAGAGGGCGACCGGCCACACUGGGACUGAGACACGGCCCAGACUCCUACGGGAGGCAGCAGUGGGGAAUCUUGCGCAAUGGGCGAAAGCCUGACGCAGCGACGCCGCGUGAGGGAUGACGGCCUCGG